GACGAACGCUGGCGGCGUGCUUAACACAUGCAAGUCGAGCGGUAAGGCCCUUUCGGGGGUACGACGAGCGGCGGAACGGGUAGGAGUAACACGUGGGUGGACCUCGCCCUCCAGCUCUGGGAGUAAGCCUGGGAAACGUAGGGUCGUAAUACUGGAUAUGACUCCACGGUGCAUGUCGUGGGGUGGAAAGCCUUGUGCGGCGUGAGGAUGGGCCCGGCCGGCCUAUCAGCUUGUUGGUGGGGUGAUGGCCUACCAAGGCGACGAC
Molecule: ribosomal RNA, 265 nt
Filed under: uncultured bacterium
Lineage: Bacteria
Description: partial 16S ribosomal RNA
Rfam family: Bacterial small subunit ribosomal RNA
Source: RNAcentral